AUGUUUAAGAACUAUAUAAUAAAUUCUCUCUUUAUCGUACACUAGCAUAGUUCAAAGAAGAUGUCACUUUAUGAUGAAAAAUAUCAGAAUAAUUUUUAUUCAAUAAUCAAUAAUUCAUAUAUAAAGAUGAACUCAAUUAUCACAUGAUUGAUUUUAAGACAUAAUUUUCAACAACUCUCACUUGGACUAAAGCCAAUCGGGGCAGUAUCUUAUACCCAUCUUUCAUUUGAAAUCAUCAAACUCUUUGAUCCCAAGAGUUUUAGUGAAGGGGUCGGCUAGAUUCUUUUUUUCAUUGAUCUUCUGAAGUCUGAUGUCACCUCGAUUCAUGAUCUCUCACACC
RNAcentral lists this long non-coding RNA (340 nucleotides) under Elaeis guineensis (African oil palm). RNAcentral describes it as "long non-coding RNA (EGUI_LNC049972)". The record is from RNAcentral. Lineage: Eukaryota; Viridiplantae; Streptophyta; Magnoliopsida; Arecales; Arecaceae.